RNAcentral lists this ribosomal RNA (326 nucleotides) under uncultured eukaryote. RNAcentral describes it as "partial 18S ribosomal RNA". It matches the Rfam family "Eukaryotic small subunit ribosomal RNA", at positions 1470 to 1796 of the family's 1831-position model. The record is from RNAcentral.
CCCUUAGAUGUUCUGGGCCGCACGCGCGCUACACUGACGAAGUCAGCGAGCAUGUCCUACGCCGACAGGUGCGGGGAAUCUUGUCAAACUUCGUCGUGAUGGGGAUUGAUUAUUGAAAUUCUUGAUCAUCAACGAGGAAUUCCUAGUAAGCGCAAGUCAGCAGCUUGCGUUGAUUACGUCCCUGCCCUUUGUACACACCGCCCGUCGCUACUACCGAUUGAAUGGCUUAGUGAGCCUUUGGGAUUGGCAGCUUGUACCGGCAACGGUAGCAGGCCGCUGAAAACUUAGGCAAACUUGGUCAUUUAGAGGAAGUAAAAGUCGUAACA